AAAGGAAAGAAGGGGACGGGCACAAGCAGUGGAGCAUAUGGUUUAAUUGGAAGCAACGCGCAGAACCUUGCCAUCCCUUGACAUGUCGUGCCAGCUGGAGAGAUCCAGGGUUCCCUUCGGGGACGCGAACACAGGUGCUGCAUGGCUGUCGUCAGCUCGUGUCGUGAGAUGUUGGGUUAAGUCCCGCAACGAGCGCAACCCACGUCCUUAGUUGCCAUCAUUCAGAUGGGCACUCUAGGGAGACUACCGGUGAUAAGCCGCGAGGAAGGUGUGGAUGACGUCAAGUCCUCAUGGCCCUUACGGGAUGGGCUACACACGUGCUACAAUGGCGGUGACAGUGGGAAGCGAAGGAGCGAUCUGGAGCAAAUCCCCAAAAACCGUCUCAGUUCAGAUUGCACUCUGCAACUCGAGUGCAUGAAGGCGGAAUCGCUAGUAAUCGUGGAUCAGCAUGCCACGGUGAAUACGUUCCCGGGCCUUGUACACACCGCCCGUCACACCAUGGGAGUUGGUCUUACCCGACGGCGCUGCGCCAACCGCAAGGAGGCAGGCGACCACGGUAGGGUCAGCGACUGGGGUGAAGUCGUAACAAGGUAGCCGUAGGGGAACCUGCGGCUGGAUCACCUCCUUAA
Molecule: ribosomal RNA, 629 nt
Filed under: uncultured bacterium
Lineage: Bacteria
Description: bacterial SSU rRNA
Rfam family: Bacterial small subunit ribosomal RNA
Source: RNAcentral